UGGGGAAUAUUGGGCAAUGGGCGAAAGCCUGACCCAGCAACGCCGCGUGAAGGAAGAAGGUUUUCGGAUUGUAAACUUCUGUCCUCAGGGAAGAAGGAAGUGACGGUACCUGAGGAGGAAGCCCCGGCUAACUACGUGCCAGCAGCCGCGGUAAUACGUAGGGGGCAAGCGUUGUCCGGAAUUAUUGGGCGGAAAGGGCGCGUAGGCGGGCAUAUAAGUCUGAUGUGAAAGUGCGGGGCUUAACCCCGUAAAGCAUUGGAAACUGUAUGUCUUGAGGACAGGAGAGGAAAGUGGAAUUCCUAGUGUAGCGGUGAAAUGCGUAGAUAUUAGGAGGAACACCAGUGGCGAAGGCGACUUUCUGGACUGUAACUGACGCUGAGGCGCGAAAGCGUGGGGAGCGAACAGG
Molecule: ribosomal RNA, 406 nt
Filed under: uncultured prokaryote
Description: bacterial SSU rRNA
Rfam family: Bacterial small subunit ribosomal RNA
Source: RNAcentral